This 450-nucleotide ribosomal RNA is filed under the name uncultured Gemmata sp. RNAcentral's name for it is "bacterial SSU rRNA". It matches the Rfam family "Bacterial small subunit ribosomal RNA", at positions 8 to 490 of the family's 1533-position model. Lineage: Bacteria; Pseudomonadati; Planctomycetota; Planctomycetia; Gemmatales; Gemmataceae. The record is from RNAcentral.
AGAGUUUGAUCAUGGCUCAGAACGAACGUUGGCGGCGUGGAUUAGGCAUGCAAGUCGCGGGAAUCCCAGCAAUGGGGGAACCGGCGUAAGGGGCAGUAAUGCGUGGGUACCUACCCCGGGGUCCGGGAUAGCCGUCCGAGAGGGCGGGUAAUACCGGAUGACCUCGGGAGAGCAAAGCUCCGGCGCCCUGGGAGGGGCCCACGUGAUAUUAGCUAGUUGGUGAGGUGACGGCUCACCAAGGCGGAGAUGUCUAGCGGGUGUGAGAGCACGACCCGCGCCACUCGCACUGAGACACUGGCGAGACACCUACGGGUGGCUGCAGUCGAGGAUCUUCGGCAAUGCGCGCAAGCGCGACCGAGCGACGCCGCGUGGGCGAUGAAGGCCUUCGGGUUGUAAAGCCCUGUCGAGGGGGAGAAAAGCCCGCAAGGGUGUGAUCUAUCCCUGGAGAAG